This is a small nucleolar RNA of Trichomycterus rosablanca, 72 nucleotides long. RefSeq annotates it as small nucleolar RNA SNORD61. NCBI's taxonomy places the organism in Eukaryota, Metazoa, Chordata, Actinopteri, Siluriformes, Trichomycteridae. The transcript has a single exon. The record is from RefSeq and is a predicted model, not a curated record.
GCCAUGAUGCAAUCCUAUUAGCUGAUCUGUUUGAGCUGAUUGUUUCGUUUAUCUCUAAGAAGUUCUGAGCCU